GGAGAGGUGGCCGAGUGGCUGAAGGCAACGGUUUGCUAAACCGUCAUAGGGGUUAAGGCCCCUAUCGCGGGUUCGAAUCCCGCCCUCUCCG
Molecule: transfer RNA, 91 nt
Filed under: Planctomycetales bacterium ZRK34
Lineage: Bacteria; Pseudomonadati; Planctomycetota; Planctomycetia; Planctomycetales
Rfam family: tRNA
About the family: Transfer RNA (tRNA) molecules are approximately 80 nucleotides in length. Their secondary structure includes four short double-helical elements and three loops (D, anti-codon, and T loops).
Source: Rfam by way of RNAcentral